GACAGAGGGGGCAAGCGUUGUCCGGAGUUACUGGGCGUAAAGAGCGCGGAGGCGGGUUGCUGCGUCGGUGCUGAAAGCGCCCCGCUUAACGGGGCGCGGGGUGCCGAAACGCGCAGGCUCGAGGCGAGCAGAGGGUGGUAGAAUUCCCGGUGGGGCGGUGAAAUGCGUAGAGAUCCGGAGGAACGCCAGCGGGGAAGCCGGCCUACUGGGCUCGUCCUGACACUGCGGCGCGACAGCGUGGGGAGCAAACCGG
RNAcentral lists this ribosomal RNA (253 nucleotides) under uncultured bacterium. Its description in RNAcentral is "partial 16S ribosomal RNA". It matches the Rfam family "Bacterial small subunit ribosomal RNA", at positions 524 to 776 of the family's 1533-position model. The record is from RNAcentral.